AAGUCGUAACAAGGUCACCGUAGGUGAACCUGCGGUGGGAUCAUUAAAGUUUAUUCAAACUUACAACACCUUGUGAAUUUCGUUUUUAUAAAACAUAACCGUGAGAGUGAUGGCAAGCUUGUAUCGCGAGUGGGAAAGAAAGGAUUUAUUAGAAUGUGGUGUAAUAGAUCCUUUUCGCUCCUUGUCCGCUCUUACGCUUCCCUUUUCCCACAAUUUUUAUUAUUUACCCAUUUGUAACAAAUUUUAAAUGAAUUAACUGGUGUUUGAUCGAAAGAUCAAUACACUUGCUUAUAUUAAAUAAGAAAUUUAUGUGCAACUCUUAGCAACGGAUAUCUUGGCUCCUG
Molecule: unclassified non-coding RNA, 344 nt
Filed under: fungal sp.
Lineage: Eukaryota; Fungi
Description: partial internal transcribed spacer region
Rfam family: Eukaryotic small subunit ribosomal RNA (bases 1-46)
Source: RNAcentral